RNAcentral lists this ribosomal RNA (332 nucleotides) under uncultured eukaryote. RNAcentral describes it as "partial 18S ribosomal RNA". It matches the Rfam family "Eukaryotic small subunit ribosomal RNA", at positions 1470 to 1796 of the family's 1831-position model. The record is from RNAcentral.
CCCUUAGAUGCUCUGGGCCGCACGCGCGCUACACUGUUCGACGCAGCGAGUCUUAACCUUGACCGAAAGGUUUGGGUAAUCUUCAGCAAAGUCGAACGUGAUGGGGAUCGAUCAUUGCAAUUAUUGAUCGUGAACGAGGAAUUCCUAGUAAGUGCAAGUCAUCAGCUUGCGCUGAUUACGUCCCUGCCCUUUGUACACACCGCCCGUCGCUACUACCGAUUGAAUGGUUUAGUGAGAUCUCUGGAUUGACGCUGGCUAGGGGGCGACCCUUGGCCAGACUGCUCGAGAAACUGCUCAAACUUGAUCAUUUAGAGGAAGUAAAAGUCGUAACA